AACCACUUUCGAGACGCAUCCGACAUCCAGAAAAAAACUCGCGACUCCGCCCCAUCUCCGUCUCCAGCGCUGUCAUCUCUGACUCCUCCCGCGCUCCCUCCCCUUCGUCCUCACGUCACCUCACCCACAGCCGCCGCCCCGGUCCCUGCAGUGCCUCCCCUCCCCUCCCCUCCCCUCCCACGGCCUCUCCAAAGACGGCGGCUGCGACGACUGGGCUCGCCAACGACCGAAUCCCAUCGGCGACAAUCCUCGCUGCCAAAACGCCGAGCACAUCGAGCCCGCCGCCCCUGUGCCAAUGCCGAGCCUCGCCACAAUCUUGCGUUUUGCCAAGCUGUUCGUGGUCGUGGAAGCCGCCCAGGCGGCGGGGUACGUGUACGCUCCUUCCCUGAUCCGGAUCGCCCGUAUCCGCGUCACCGGGCCCUUCAC
RNAcentral lists this long non-coding RNA (426 nucleotides) under Sorghum bicolor (sorghum). Its description in RNAcentral is "long non-coding RNA (SBIC_LNC016442)". The record is from RNAcentral. Lineage: Eukaryota; Viridiplantae; Streptophyta; Magnoliopsida; Poales; Poaceae.